Mercenaria mercenaria is the source of this 65-nucleotide non-coding RNA. NCBI's taxonomy places the organism in Eukaryota, Metazoa, Mollusca, Bivalvia, Venerida, Veneridae. The record is from the annotation of a RefSeq genome assembly.
GCAGUGAUAGUAUAAUUAUAGUAUGUUUGUUUUCCAAACAAAUGGUUUCGGUUAGAAUCAUUGUA